AUUUGGUGGUGUGGGCAGCUUGCACAUAAAUUCUUGAAUCUUUCCCAGUACUCACACAAGCUUUCACCAUCGAGUUGCCUGAUUCCGGAUACAUCCUUUCUUAUGGU
RNAcentral lists this small nucleolar RNA (107 nucleotides) under Vigna radiata var. radiata (mung bean). RNAcentral describes it as "Plant small nucleolar RNA R71". It matches the Rfam family "Plant small nucleolar RNA R71". From Rfam's summary of the family: R71 is a member of the C/D box family of snoRNAs containing the C (UGAUGA) and D (CUGA) box motifs. Multiple nearly identical copies of this snoRNA have been identified in Arabidopsis, and it is thought to function as a 2'-O-ribose methylation guide for 18S ribosomal RNA. Lineage: Eukaryota; Viridiplantae; Streptophyta; Magnoliopsida; Fabales; Fabaceae. The record is from Rfam by way of RNAcentral.